This 510-nucleotide ribosomal RNA is filed under the name uncultured bacterium. Its description in RNAcentral is "partial 16S ribosomal RNA". It matches the Rfam family "Bacterial small subunit ribosomal RNA", at positions 28 to 507 of the family's 1533-position model. The record is from RNAcentral.
GACGAACGCUGGCGGCGUGCUUAACACAUGCCAGUCGAACGAAGAGCGACGGAAGCUUGCUUCUAUCAAUCUUAGUGGCGAACGGGUGAGUAACGCGUAAUCAACCUGCCCUUCAGAGGGGGACAACAGUUGGAAACGACUGCUAAUACCGCAUACGCUCUAACCUCGGCAUCGAGGAUAGAUGAAAGGUGGCCUCUACAUGUAAGCUAUCACUGAAGGAGGGGAUUGCGUCUGAUUAGCUAGUUGGAGUGGUAACGGCCCACCAAGGCGAUGAUCAGUAGCCGGUAUGAGAGGAUGAACGGCCACAUUGGGACUGAGACACGGCCCAGACUCCUACGGGAGGCAGCAGUGGGGAAUCUUCCGCAAUGGACGAAAGUCUGACGGCGCAACGCCGCGUGAGUGAUGACGGCCUUCGGGUUGUAAAGCUCGGUUAAUCGGGACGAAAGGCCUUCUUGCGAAUAGUGAGAAGGAUUGACGGUACCGGAAUAGAAAGCAACGGCUAACUACGUG